UGGGGAAUAUUGGACAAUGGGCGCAAGCCUGAUCCAGCCAUGCCGCGUGAGUGAUGAAGGCCCUAGGGUUGUAAAGCUCUUUCACCGGAGAAGAUAAUGACGGUAUCCGGAGAAGAAGCCCCGGCUAACUUCGUGCCAGCAGCCGCGGUAAUACGAAGGGGGCUAGCGUUGUUCGGAUUUACUGGGCGUAAAGCGCACGUAGGCGGAUUUUUAAGUCAGUGGUGAAAUCCCGGGGCUCAACCCCGGAACUGCCUCUGAUACUGGGUAUCUUGAGUCCGGAAGAGGUGAGUGGAAUUCCGAGUGUAGAGGUGAAAUUCCUAGAUAUUCGGAGGAACACCAGUGGCGAAGGCGGCUCACUGGUCCGGUACUGACGCUGAGGUGCGAAAGCGUGGGGAGCAAACA
This 402-nucleotide ribosomal RNA is filed under the name uncultured prokaryote. RNAcentral's name for it is "bacterial SSU rRNA". It matches the Rfam family "Bacterial small subunit ribosomal RNA", at positions 355 to 774 of the family's 1533-position model. The record is from RNAcentral.